UACGUAGGGUGCAAGCGUUGUCCGGAAUUAUUGGGCGUAAAGAGCUCGUAGGCGGUUUGUCGCGUCUGCUGUGAAAAACCCGAGGCUCAACCUCGGGCCUGCAGUGGGGUACGGGCAGACUAGAGUGCGGGUAGGGGAGAUUGGAAUUCCUGGUGUAGCGGUGGAAUGCGCAGAUAUCAGGGAGGAACACCAAUGGCGAAGGCAGAUCUCUGGGCCGUAACUGACGCUGAGGAGCGAAAGCAUGGGGAGCGAACAGG
This 257-nucleotide ribosomal RNA is filed under the name uncultured bacterium. RNAcentral's name for it is "partial 16S ribosomal RNA". It matches the Rfam family "Bacterial small subunit ribosomal RNA", at positions 524 to 776 of the family's 1533-position model. The record is from RNAcentral.